Molecule: long non-coding RNA, 1152 nt
Organism: Daphnia magna
Lineage: Eukaryota; Metazoa; Arthropoda; Branchiopoda; Diplostraca; Daphniidae
Exons: 3
Source: RefSeq, a predicted model, not a curated record
UAGCAGACUGUUUUUCAAGACCAUUUUAGUUUGUUCCUCAAAGCUUUGAUGGUGUUAUUUCUGUGCUGUGAAAUUAUACAGCAAAUAAAAAUUAUUUGUAAUUUCUCUAUUUGGAUAAUGUAAUCUUGUAAGGAACUCUCUGUAUCGUUAUCUGAAAAAUGAAAAUCCAUCUUUUAGCUACUCAAAAUAUAAGCAGCAAGAGUCCGAGCUUUAACCAUACUUACAUCAGUCUGCCGAUAUUUACUUUGGACUUCCUCCACAAGAUGUUCGCGAACUUGCUUAUCAACAUGUCGAGAUAUCAAUGAUUGAGAUAAAUUCUCCAACUGAAUGGAAGGCAAAUGAGAUGGCUGGACUUGAUUGGUUUAAAUGCUAUCUAAAGAGAUACUCAACGUUGUCCAUAAGAAGACCCGAAGCAAAUUCUUUAGCCAGAACUUCUUCCUUCAACAGGCACAAUGCACAGCUGUUUUUCAACAACCUCGAAGAUACUAUUCAGCGUAAGAACAUCUCGUAUGAUUCCAUCUGGAAUAUGGAUGAAACUGGGGUAACGACAGUACCUCCAUGUAAAAAAAUAGUUGGAAGAAAAGGUCAGAAAAAAGUUGGAGCUGUUGUCUCUAUCGAAAGAGGAGUUUUAGUUACUGUUGCUAUGGCAGUUUCUGCGUUUGGAUACUCCAUUCCACCCUUUCACCGUUAAAAAGGGUACCACUUAUUUGGGGUUGUCAACCCCGAAAAAUGUGAAGUUGUACGAAAUUUUGACUUUUUUCGAAAAUUUCGGGGUUUUAACUACUAUUCACCUUUUUUGAAUUUUAAAGCAAAUGUUUUGGACAAAAAUCCCCAAAAUUUCUAGCCUCAAGAGGGAUAACACAUUUUACAAGAAACGACGUAGGUAUAUUAUUCAUAAAAGUACAUGGCGAUGAAAAUCCAAUGGCUUGUUUUACUUUCUGCUUCACGGUUUCAUUGAUCAAGGAAGUUGCUACUUUCAUGACAUAUUGCACAUUAACUUGAGUUAAUUUUUGUUCCGUUAGCAUGUUUAGAACAAAAUCUGCACCAAGGUAUGUAAAUCAACAUCUGGUUUUGCUAAUUCAACAUGUGUAGAAGCCCGUUCACUGUCUAAAAAAUUAAAACUUCUGCUUAAUAAACGGUUAACUUAACUUA